AAUAAGGUGCCUGAUUAAAGGAUUAUUUUGAUAGAAUAAAUCAAGUAAAUUUAUUUACCCUUAUUA
This 66-nucleotide transfer RNA is filed under the name Dytiscus sharpi. RNAcentral describes it as "tRNA-Ile". RNAcentral also lists the same sequence under 1 other name. Lineage: Eukaryota; Metazoa; Arthropoda; Insecta; Coleoptera; Dytiscidae. The record is from RNAcentral.